UGGGGAAUCUUAGACAAUGGGCGAAAGCCUGAUCUAGCCAUGCCGCGUGAGCGAUGAAGGCCUUAGGGUUGUAAAGCUCUUUCGCUAGGGAAGAUAAUGACUGUACCUAGUAAAGAAGUCCCGGCUAACUCCGUGCCAGCAGCCGCGGUAAUACGGAGGGGACUAGCGUUGUUCGGAAUUACUGGGCGUAAAGCGCGCGUAGGCGGGUUGUUAAGUUAGAGGUGAAAUCCCAGGGCUCAACCCUGGAACUGCCUUUAAUACUGGCAGCCUAGAGAUUGGGAGAGGUGAGUGGAAUUCCGAGUGUAGAGGUGAAAUUCGUAGAUAUUCGGAGGAACACCAGUGGCGAAGGCGGCUCACUGGCCCAAUACUGACGCUGAGGUGCGAAAGCGUGGGGAGCAAACAGG
RNAcentral lists this ribosomal RNA (404 nucleotides) under uncultured bacterium. RNAcentral describes it as "bacterial SSU rRNA". It matches the Rfam family "Bacterial small subunit ribosomal RNA", at positions 355 to 776 of the family's 1533-position model. The record is from RNAcentral.